Long non-coding RNA from Glossina fuscipes, 802 nucleotides. RefSeq lists it as uncharacterized. Lineage: Eukaryota; Metazoa; Arthropoda; Insecta; Diptera; Glossinidae. The record is from RefSeq and is a predicted model, not a curated record. The transcript has 3 exons.
AAGAAAUCUGUUGAAUUCGAAUUAACGAAAAGAAGAACAGUUUUAGAUUGAUAUUUCUGAAUUAUUUUAAUAUUAACUUUAUAUUGAAAUGCUAAAUUACGAAUGAUGUCAAAUAUUUUUUUUUUAAUAUAAGCAAGCAUUCACAAGGUGUGUCACAGGGUUGCGGACAAGAAAGAGAAAAGAUAUAAGGAGGUGGUGGCCGCAGCCUAGUUGUUGUACGCCCAAUCGACAAGCGUUAUGCCUUUAUCGACUGUGGGCUCGCUAUAGUUACGACGAAAGAAUAAAUAAGCAAUACGUGAUUUAAUUGUUUUAAUAAAUUUAAUAAAUUUAAAAUUUUACUUUCAAGUGCACAAUUUAGCAAUUCUGAACUAUAGAUCAACAAAGCAAUUUUAAAUAAAUCAAAAAUCGAAUAGUAUUUAUAGACACGUCAAAUUGUCUUAAAUCUUCUUAUUUUAUUUACAAUUAAAAAAUGUUGCUGUCAACAAUUUUCAGGGCUGUGAAUGACAUUUGUCGGAUGGCGCAGUGUAUCAAUCACACCAAACUCAUCUUGAGAGAUCGAGUUAUAGUUUCUUAUGCAUAAAAAUUACUUUUAAAUUUCUUUACCGUUCGCGGCUUUCCGUGAUAUAAAUACAAUGGACGCAUUAAUGCAUACAGAUGGUUUCUUCUGGUUAAGUUGGAAAAGAAAAACUUACACAACGAGAAAGUUUUAUCAUAGAUUGCACUGUACACGUAAAAAAUGCAAUACAAUAAUAAAAUCAUCAGCAACUUUAGGUUUAACUCUUUUUCAACAAAAACAAAAUAA